GAAGAUAUAGCUCAGUGGUAGAGCACGUGCUUAGCAUGCACAAGGUGCUGGGUUCAAUCCCCAAGACCUCCA
RNAcentral lists this transfer RNA (72 nucleotides) under Camelus bactrianus (Bactrian camel). It matches the Rfam family "tRNA". Rfam says of the family: Transfer RNA (tRNA) molecules are approximately 80 nucleotides in length. Their secondary structure includes four short double-helical elements and three loops (D, anti-codon, and T loops). Further hydrogen bonds mediate the characteristic L-shaped molecular structure. tRNAs have two regions of fundamental functional importance: the anti-codon, which is responsible for specific mRNA codon recognition, and the 3' end, to which the tRNAs corresponding amino acid is attached (by aminoacyl-tRNA synthetases). tRNAs cope with the degeneracy of the genetic code in two manners: having more than one tRNA (with a specific anti-codon) for a particular amino acid; and 'wobble' base-pairing, i.e. permitting non-standard base-pairing at the 3rd anti-codon position. The record is from Rfam by way of RNAcentral. RNAcentral also lists the same sequence under 2 other names. Lineage: Eukaryota; Metazoa; Chordata; Mammalia; Artiodactyla; Camelidae.